GAAAUGCGAUAAGUAGUGUGAAUUGCAGAAUUCAGUGAAUCAUCGAAUCAUUGAACGCACAUUGCGCCCCUUGGUAUUCCAUGGGGCAUGCCUGUUCGAGCGUCAUUUGUACCCUCAAGCUCUGCUUGGUGUUGGGUGUUUGUCCCGUCUCCGCGCGUGGACUCGCCCCAAAGUGAUUGGCAGCCGGCGUACUGGUCCCGGAGCGCAGCACAUGUCGCGCAAACGAGUGCCUUGGUACGGCGGCGUCCAUAAGCCCCUCUCUCACGCUCUUGACCUCGGAUCAGGUAGGGAUACCCGCUGAACUUAAGC
Molecule: unclassified non-coding RNA, 309 nt
Filed under: plant metagenome
Description: partial contains 5.8S ribosomal RNA, internal transcribed spacer 2, and large subunit ribosomal RNA
Rfam family: 5.8S ribosomal RNA (bases 1-105)
Source: RNAcentral